AGAGAGAGACAUGCGCGCAUAUCAAUAAGCGGAGGAAAAGAAACUAACAUAGGAUUCCCUCAGUAACGGCGAGUGAAGCGGGAAGAGCUCAAAUUUGAAAUCUUCAAGGUUCUACCUUGACGAAUUGUAGUUUAAAGAAGUGUUUUCUGUUGAAGUUUUGGUAAAAGUUCUUUGGAAUAGGACAUCAUAGAGGGUGAGAAUCCCGUAUUUGACCAUUAUUUCCAGCUGUGUGAUACACUUUCAAAGAGUCGGAUUGUUUGGGAAUGCUGUCCAAAAUGGGUGGUAAAUUUCAUCUAAAGCUAAAUAUUGGCGAGAGACCGAUAGCGAACAAGUACCGUGAGGGAAGGAUGAAAAGAACUUUGAAAAGAGAGUUAAACAGUACGUGGAAUUGUCAAAAGGGAAGCGUUUGACACCAGUGUUGUUUUUCUGAAAAUCGAUUAAAGAACUGUUUAUGCUAAGUUGUUUAGACUUUAUCAGCUAUCUGUUUAGUUUUGAGCUUUUCUUUAAUGCACUUUUCAGUUAACAAGUCAACAUCAAUUUCUUUUGCUGUAAAAAAGCUUGAGGAAGGUGGCUUGAGAUUCGUCUUAAGUGUUUAUAGCCUCUUGCCUAUGCAGUCGGAGAGAUUGAGGUCUGCAGCGUAGAUCCUUCGGGGCUAAAUGCAUUUGUGCUAAGUUAUAGCAUUUUAUAGACAACUUGUUGACUAUGAUUUGUCUUGUAGCUUACUCGCUUAUGUUAUUUUACCUACGCUUAGGAUGUUGAUGUGAUACUGCGAGC
Molecule: ribosomal RNA, 774 nt
Filed under: uncultured Neocallimastigales
Lineage: Eukaryota; Fungi; Neocallimastigomycota; Neocallimastigomycetes; Neocallimastigales
Description: partial large subunit ribosomal RNA
Rfam family: Eukaryotic large subunit ribosomal RNA
Source: RNAcentral